Molecule: ribosomal RNA, 434 nt
Filed under: uncultured Lachnospiraceae bacterium
Lineage: Bacteria; Bacillati; Bacillota; Clostridia; Lachnospirales; Lachnospiraceae
Description: partial 16S ribosomal RNA
Rfam family: Bacterial small subunit ribosomal RNA
Source: RNAcentral
ACGGAAGGCAGCAGUGGGGAAUAUUGCACAAUGGGGGAAACCCUGAUGCAGCGACGCCGCGUGAGUGAAGAAGUAUUUCGGUAUGUAAAGCUCUUUAAGCAGGGAUGAAAAUGACGGUACCUGCAGAAUAAGCCCCGGCUAACUACGUGCCAGCAGCCGCGGUAAUACGUAGGGGGCAAGCGUUAUCCGGAUUUACUGGGUGUAAAGGGAGCGUAGACGGCAAUGCAAGUCUGAAGUGAAAGCCCGCGGCUCAACUGCGGGACUGCUUUGGAAACUGUAUAGCUUGAGUGUCGGAGAGGUAAGUGGAAUUCCCAGUGUAGCGGUGAAAUGCGUAGAUAUUGGGAGGAACACCAGUGGCGAAGGCGGCUUACUGGACGAUAACUGACGUUGAGGCUCGAAAGCGUGGGGAGCAAACAGGAUUAGAUACCCUGGUA